Molecule: ribosomal RNA, 251 nt
Filed under: uncultured bacterium
Lineage: Bacteria
Description: partial 16S ribosomal RNA
Rfam family: Bacterial small subunit ribosomal RNA
Source: RNAcentral
UACGGAGGGUGCAAGCGUUAUCCGGAUUCACUGGGUUUAAAGGGUGCGUAGGUGGGAAUGUAAGUCAGUGGUGAAAUCUCCGUGCUUAACAUGGAACUGCCUUGAUACUAUGUUUCUUGAAUUUUCUGGAGGUAAGCGGAAUAUGUCAUGUAGCGGUGAAAUGCUUAGAUAUGACAUAGAACACCAAUUGCGAAGGCAGCUUGCUACAGGGAUAUUGACACUGAGGCACGAAAGCGUGGGGAUCAAACAGG